Molecule: transfer RNA, 66 nt
Filed under: Rikenellaceae bacterium
Lineage: Bacteria; Pseudomonadati; Bacteroidota; Bacteroidia; Bacteroidales; Rikenellaceae
Description: tRNA-Ala
Rfam family: tRNA
About the family: Transfer RNA (tRNA) molecules are approximately 80 nucleotides in length. Their secondary structure includes four short double-helical elements and three loops (D, anti-codon, and T loops).
Source: RNAcentral
UAGCUCAGUUGGUAGAGCGUAAGGUUCGCAAUCUUAAGGUCAGGGGUUCGAUCCCCCUAUACUCCA